UCCAAGUCUUGAGUGUGCCUGGGCUAUCUGAGAAACAAUAAGGAGGUUAGUGCAGCUGCAGCUGAGUGAAUGAGGGAGAGAAUGUAGUAAGAGAAGAGCUUUAGGGAUAUGCCUGGGGCCAGAUCACACAGGGUCUGGUAGGUUAUGGAAAGGAUUUUUGUACUGACCGAGAAUGGAGGACAUUACAGAGUUUUGAGCAAAGAAGGGACAUGAUAUGACCUGUGCUUUUAAUUCUUCUGGCUGCUGUGUUGAGCAAAGGUAACAGUAGGGUGAGGAUGGAAGAAAGGAGACCAGAUAGACGAAGAUGUGGAAUAGGAGUUAAGGGAGCAGUACGAAGAGCAAGUGAGGAUGAUUACAGACACUACUUUGAAAUCUUUGUAGUGGGAAGGAACACAGUGGGACAGCCUCUUUUUAGCAUUUCAGAAAAAACUAGUGGACACAAUUCAUUGGAGCACAGGCAUAUGAAUGUGAUAAAAUAGAGUGGUUUGCAAAGCCAAGAUAAAAAUGGAAUGAAUGAAAAAACAAGUUUCCCCAAAGGUAAGUUGUGUCAUUAUGUUUACCUGUCUUGCACCGUCUGUCUGCUCUUUUUCUGCUAGUGCUUCGCUGGCCAAGCCACUUCACUGAAAUCUUUACUUUCCCUCAUAUGCCUUGUCAAGACUCUUUUCACAGAUACCAUGGUGAUUAAAAAAAAAAAAUUGGAUCAUGUUACCCCUGCUUAUGU
Long non-coding RNA from Capra hircus (goat), 721 nucleotides. RefSeq lists it as uncharacterized. NCBI's taxonomy places the organism in Eukaryota, Metazoa, Chordata, Mammalia, Artiodactyla, Bovidae. The transcript is spliced from 3 exons. The record is from RefSeq and is a predicted model, not a curated record.